Molecule: ribosomal RNA, 253 nt
Filed under: uncultured bacterium
Lineage: Bacteria
Description: partial 16S ribosomal RNA
Rfam family: Bacterial small subunit ribosomal RNA
Source: RNAcentral
UACGGGGGGGGCAAGCGUUGUUCGGAAUUACUGGGCGUAAAGGGCUCGUAGGCGGCCAACUAAGUCAGACGUGAAAUCCCUCGGCUUAACCGGGGAACUGCAUCUGAUACUGGAUGGCUUGAGUUCGGGAGAGGGAUGCGGAAUUCCAGGUGUAGCGGUGAAAUGCGCAGAUAUCAGGAGGAACACCAAUGGCGAAGGCAGCUCGCUGGGACGGUACUGACGCUGAGGCGCGAAAGCGUGGGGAGCAAACAGG